UGCAAUGAUGAGAUCACUAUCUCGUUAAUCUGAUAUUAACAUGGGGAAAAAUCUUGUCAAUUCAUAAAUGGACUGAGC
Molecule: non-coding RNA, 78 nt
Organism: Populus trichocarpa (black cottonwood)
Lineage: Eukaryota; Viridiplantae; Streptophyta; Magnoliopsida; Malpighiales; Salicaceae
Source: Rfam